This is a long non-coding RNA of Rhinopithecus roxellana (golden snub-nosed monkey), 790 nucleotides long. RefSeq lists it as uncharacterized. The record is from RefSeq and is a predicted model, not a curated record. The transcript has 2 exons. NCBI's taxonomy places the organism in Eukaryota, Metazoa, Chordata, Mammalia, Primates, Cercopithecidae.
GCAGGUGGCGCAAAGCAAGUCAGCUCCAAGCUGCUUCCGGUCCAUUUUCCAGCUGUAGGAGAAGGGUCUUCCCUGCCCAAGGAGAGUGGUCCCCUCUUCUGAAGAGUGAGGAGCUCUCUGCGGUGGAGGAGGCAUAUGAAGACUUCCCAGAACACUGCACCCACCUGACUGAGAGGUACUUUUUAAGGUCAUUCAAACUGUCGUCUACACAUGAAUAACAAUGAAAUUCUCAUAAAGAAGCAGAAAUACCCAGGAGGCAUGAAGAGUCAUCAUGCUUCAAAAGUGCAUGUAUUAGGACUUCAUGACCUCAGGAAAAGUAGACCCCAUAACUCUUAAAAGCUCAACCUUGGAAAAGAGAAACAUGCUGUUUGAUGACACAGCACUGAAACUUGUUGAAAUAUCCUUGGAGCUUGAGAUGUUGAGAGCUAUCAAAAUGUUCUUAACAAUUAAAUUGAAAAAUGUUUCUUCAAAAUGUCUUAGCCAACCAAAUACAAACAUUUUUGUCAUUGUGAAAAAAAAAAAAAACCUCGCCAAUUGCCUUUGCUAGUCUCAGCACAGCCCAAGAGGAGCAUCCUUCAUGAGCCAACUGAAAAACAGUGUGCAGUCUAUGCUUCUGACCAGAUGGGCUUCUCUUGUCACCAAAACACUAUGUAUUAGGACUUCAUGUAUUAUGUAUUAUGUCAACACUUUAUUCAUUAUGCUGAUCAUACUCUGUAUUUCACUUGCUCUGGUUAUUUGUAAAGCUUUUCCCAUUUCAUCAUUAGAUUAUCCUUAAAUUUUAGCAACUGCA